Molecule: ribosomal RNA, 527 nt
Filed under: uncultured bacterium
Lineage: Bacteria
Description: bacterial SSU rRNA
Rfam family: Bacterial small subunit ribosomal RNA
Source: RNAcentral
AAUAGAUACCCGUGGUAGUCCACGCCGUAAACGAUGAGUGCUAAGUGUUAGAGGGUUUCCGCCCUUUAGUGCUGCAGCUAACGCAUUAAGCACUCCGCCUGGGGAGUACGGCCGCAAGGCUGAAACUCAAAGGAAUUGACGGGGGCCCGCACAAGCGGUGGAGCAUGUGGUUUAAUUCGAAGCAACGCGAAGAACCUUACCAGGUCUUGACAUCCUCUGCCAACCCUAGAGAUAGGGCGUUCCCCUUCGGGGGACAGAGUGACAGGUGGUGCAUGGUUGUCGUCAGCUCGUGUCGUGAGAUGUUGGGUUAAGUCCCGCAACGAGCGCAACCCUUGAUCUUAGUUGCCAGCAUUCAGUUGGGCACUCUAAGGUGACUGCCGGUGACAAACCGGAGGAAGGUGGGGAUGACGUCAAAUCAUCAUGCCCCUUAUGACCUGGGCUACACACGUGCUACAAUGGAUGGUACAAAGAGCUGCGAACCCGCGAGGGUAAGCCAAUCUCAUAAAGCCAUUCUCAGUUCGGAUUGU